UACGGAGGGCGCAAGCGUUGUUCGGAAUCACUGGGCGUAAAGCGCGUAGGCGGCUUACCAAGUUGGGGGUGAAAUCCCGGAGCUCAACUCCGGAACUGCCUUCAAAACUGGUAGGCUCGAGUCCGGAAGAGGGGCGUGGAAUUCCCAGUGUAGAGGUGAAAUUCGUAGAUAUUGGGAAGAACACCGGUGGCGAAGGCGGCGCCCUGGUCCGGUACUGACGCUGAGGCGCGAAAGCGUGGGGAGCAAACAGG
RNAcentral lists this ribosomal RNA (251 nucleotides) under uncultured bacterium. RNAcentral's name for it is "partial 16S ribosomal RNA". It matches the Rfam family "Bacterial small subunit ribosomal RNA", at positions 524 to 776 of the family's 1533-position model. The record is from RNAcentral.